Molecule: long non-coding RNA, 165 nt
Filed under: Dasypus novemcinctus (nine-banded armadillo)
Lineage: Eukaryota; Metazoa; Chordata; Mammalia; Cingulata; Dasypodidae
Description: lncRNA (ENSDNOG00000050549.1)
Source: RNAcentral
GCGCCCAUGCUAAUCUGUACAUCCAGAGAGCAAAGUGGGAUGAUCUGUCACUACACCUGCAGCACCACGCUCGGAGGACAGCUCCUGCUUGCAGCUUCCAGAUUCAGGCAAUCUGCUUCUGCUGCUAAGUGUCCUUUGGUGGCUGAUUGCAGCUUCAGGGUUUAA